RNAcentral lists this long non-coding RNA (596 nucleotides) under Malus domestica (apple). Its description in RNAcentral is "long non-coding RNA (MDOM_LNC014006)". The record is from RNAcentral. Lineage: Eukaryota; Viridiplantae; Streptophyta; Magnoliopsida; Rosales; Rosaceae.
GUGCGACGGCACUUUGCACGACGAAGGAAUGCGUCACGCAAAGCUGAUUUGCGCGACGUAAGUGCACCUUCGUCGCGCAAAACAUACUUUGCGCAACGUUUUAUGUUUAGCGUCGCGCAAACAUACUUUGCGCUACGAAAUUUCCUACAUCGCGCAAAUUUCUGUCGCGCAAACAUGUUUUUCUACUAGUGAUCAUAAGACCACUUUGGCUAUGUCAAUGUCGGUUUGGUCGUUCGUUCACAACUCCAUUGCCUUCCCAAUCUAGACGAACUGAAAAAGGUUAACAAAAUUGGAAAGGACCAAUGGUGUAAUUUAAGUUGAAUUUCAGGACGGGAGUAAUUAUUAUUUAAGUUUAGGCACCAAAAUGUAACUCGUGUUGUAGUUAUGAGCAUUAUUCUUCGUUACACCGACCUUGUUCAAUCCUAUGGUAAGAAAACAUAAUAAAUUUAUAGAAAAGAGAUUCCUUUAAUUUAUAGAAAAUUAUAUAUUAAUCUUUUAAAUACGAUGAAGUUUAGAUUAAUGUAGGUUACAAAAUUCAAAAUUGAGUUUAGUCCCUUGGUUUUAUUUAAUGUUAGCAUUGUUAUUCCAUGUCAUUU